UACGAAGGGGACUAGCGUUGUUCGGAAUUACUGGGCGUAAAGGGCGCGUAGGCGGCCUUCUAAGUCGGACGUGAAAUCCCUCGGCUUAACCGAGGAACUGCGUCCGAUACUGAAAGGCUUGAAUCCGGGAGAGGGAUGUGGAAUUCCAGGUGUAGCGGUGAAAUGCGUAGAUAUCUGGAGGAACACCGGUGGCGAAGGCGGCAUCCUGGACCGGCAUUGACGCUGAGGCGCGAAAGCUAGGGGAGCAAACGGG
This 253-nucleotide ribosomal RNA is filed under the name uncultured bacterium. Its description in RNAcentral is "partial 16S ribosomal RNA". It matches the Rfam family "Bacterial small subunit ribosomal RNA", at positions 524 to 776 of the family's 1533-position model. The record is from RNAcentral.